Long non-coding RNA from Microplitis mediator, 985 nucleotides. RefSeq lists it as uncharacterized. Lineage: Eukaryota; Metazoa; Arthropoda; Insecta; Hymenoptera; Braconidae. The record is from RefSeq and is a predicted model, not a curated record. The transcript has 3 exons.
CAAUUAAAAUGUCCGGUGUGUAUGACGACCACUUCAUUUUGUAAAUUAGUCACUGUGACUUGAAUCGUUAAAAUUAAACAAUGAAAAUUAUUCACUUUGUCGACAAAGUAACUUAUCUAAUCAGGGAGUCACAAUGAGAUAGCUUAGUUCUUUUCGUUAAUCUUUUUUUUCGGCAGUAACCCUGCAUGCUAUCUUAGCCAAGGCGUUUAAAUCAAAGUAUACAUAAAUACGAUAUUUCGCUAUAUUUUUCGUGACUUACUCAAGAUUCGCUUCAGAAUUAAUCAUAUUGCCACUAAGGAUGGAGUUAAAUGACAUCAGAGCUAUGGAGAUCCAGUGUAAAUAAACCACCACAAAUUAGAUCAAUGAAUUGACAAUUAAAAUGAUCGAUUUUGCCGCAAAAGCGGAGGUCAAAUCCGGUGUGUGUGACGACAAUUUGAAUUUUUUUGUUUUACAGUCGAGGUCAAAAUAUUCGGAAAUAAAAGCACAGAUAUAUUAAUCACUGUGACUUAAAUCGUUAAAAAAACAAUUCAAAUUAUUUACGUUGCCAACAAUAUAGCUUGUCUGAUCGGUGAGUCACAAUAACAUAACUGAGUCCUUUCCGUCAAUCAUUUAUCUAACAGUAUAAAGUUCAAUAGAUUCAAGAUUGUGAAUGAACUAAGGCAAACUCAGUCGAUGAAAAGAAAAAAGUUUUCACUUCGUCAGCGAAGUAUUAGAUCUGGACUAAUGGCCAAACUAACGAUCUUAUUCGCUUUAUCACUGUUUCGGCUAUUCAUCUUUAGCUAUACUAUUGUCAAAUAGCAGUACGAGUUUGUCUCAAGCCAAAAAAUACUAAAAGAAAAGAUCAAAUGUAAAAUUAUCACUGUGACUUAAAUCGUUAAUAUAAAACUAUCCAAUUUAUUUACUUUGUGCUCGGGUAAAAAAAUAACGUGGAUUUGACUUUUCAGACUUACUUGACUUGAUUAACUUUAUUCUGACUGCUAUAAUU